GAGACAUCCUGCCUGCCAUGAUCUCUCCUAUCAGACCAAGGCUUCGGAGAAACCACUGAGCUCACAGUGGCUUAACACAGUUAUACUCAAAGGCUAUCCUUAGCCAUAAACACCAUCAGCUGUUUUUAUAGCAAAGAGAUACCCGCUUUGCUAACUUCUGAGGAAACUUGGGCCAGUUACCGGUGUCUAGUGGGCCACGCCCACGUCUUCCAGGUCGAAAUGGCAUUCUGCGAAGAACCGCUUCCGGCUUCCUCGCUUCCUCGGCUCAGAGGCAAAUGGGGCAGAGCUAUCACACAGAGCAAAGUGCUUUCUUCACCCCUGCUGACUUUGCCACACAGGAUGCUAAAAAGGACACACAUUCAGGGGGAGUUCUACAAAUGAAACUUUUUCCUGCUUCCAUGAGGACUUUGGGGGAUUUUGCUGGUGGUUGAACCCAGGGCCUGUCACGUGCCACAUCUCAGCCCUCAUUAAGGACAUCCUUAGGUGACCCUGGCCUGUGUGUGCAUGCACGUGUGUGCCAGAGGAGACCUCAAUGGCUGUGCGGUGCUUCGGGGUCAUUUCCCAUUGCUACUAAAAUGCCAGCAGUUUUAUUCACUAGCAGAGCAGAUACCAACAAGAUGAAAAUAGGAAAUAGUACCCCAGAGGCAGAAACCUAGUGGUGACUUCUAGGGCACCUGAAGUGGUCUGGCGUUCCCCGGGAUACGCCGAGCACACACGGAGAGCCGUUACACAAAGGGGAUGGGCCAGUUCUGCGCCUCCUGAGGCCUGGCCAAGAAGAUAGACUUUGGGCAAACGUAAUCACACGUGAUCUGAUGAGUGCUGGAGAUACUGGCAGGCUUCGGGCUGCAAACGUCGCCAGGGCCUUCCCAAGGUAGGAAACUUUUGAAAUGGAUCUUGAUGGCUGAGUAGGAACUCCUCCAGAAAGAGAAGGUGAACCUUUAUGUUUUGAGUUACACAAGGGUGGGGUAGGGGUACUAACAAAGGCUUUUGGAGACUCUCCCAAAAAAAUGAUGAUAAUCGUGUGUGUUCAUAUCAGGAUAAUACCGGCCACGUCAUUGAGUGUUCAUCCUGUAUAAAACUGAAGCUCAGAGUUCACAUAUAGUCACAUAUCUCAUUGUCUCCACCAACCUGUGAAAGGCCAAGAAGAUUCCUCAAGGACACAUAGCAAAUCCACAGGGGAAGCCGAUAUUAAAACUAGGCUUGUCUGAUUCCUAAGACCACGCUGUUUCUCUCUCCCUGAGCCAGGAGAAAGAGCAACAUCCUGGCACCUUUGCUCAGACCUCAGUUUUCGUCUCCGAUACAGUUAGAGGAGCUUCAUUCCCUUCCGGCAGUCUUCCAGAGCUCCACUCUGCUCUGAGACUCACUCCCAAACACCGCAGGCCCAGCCCUGGGGUUCUGGGAUUCCUCCCUCUUGGCCAGACCCACUCCUGUGGUUGUGCCUGAGCAGUGACCUCUGUUGGGAGUCUAGUCAGCUUUGAUCCACAAUAAAACCAGCUGAUCCUGCUGAGAUCAAGUAGGUCUCCUUCCCAACCCUUUCUCUGUGGUCUGCCUAUUGUUAGUCCCCUCUGCAGCAGCCAGCUGACCCCUUCCCAAGGCUGUGGGCUCUCAUGUCUAGAGCACACAUGGACUUGGGUUCCUGCUUUUUUUGGUCUUGAAGCUUCUCUUCUGGUCCCUGUAAAAUUGGAACACGGGCACCCCACCUAAAAGGACCAGGCCCCAGGAGGAACUGAGUCAAUGUGCACAGGUCCUGACAGUUUCGCCAUUUUAAGCUCACCAAGUAGCUUGAAAUGGUAUCCAGACAUGCAGCUCUUCGGUUUUCCGGUAGGUAGGUCUAUUCCUGGAUGCUCACUCCCACCAGGCCUUCCGUGUGGGCCCUGUGCCUGUGAAAGCUCUGGAUCUAAGGAAUGUAAAAGCCCAGAAGCCUGACCCUCCAGUCCUGCCUAAACACUCAGCAAGCCGUCCCAUUUCUGAUUUUACACAGGAUCCCUAGGGGGGCUUCCUGAUAAAGUAGACCAUCCUCUCCUACUAGACGCCAGGAAAGCAUUAACCAUUGACCGUGUCCAUAGUCUCCACACUCAGGAGACUGAGGCAAAAGCAUUGCUGUGAGCUCCAGGUCAGCCUGUGCUGUGUAUGGUAGCCCAUUCCUGUCAUCCCUGCAUCCCAUGUCCAUGCAGAGACAGAAGAACCAGGAGUUCAAGGUCAUCCUCCUAGGCCAGCCUAUACUACAUGAGACCCUUAAAAAUAAAUAAAUAAAACCAGAGGACAAAAAACAAACAAACAAACAAAAACACCUCACCUCUGUUGUGGUCACUCUAACUCUAACAAGUGGCCCUCAAGAGCAUCCUCAGUCCCAGCUCUGACCCCCAUAGGGAUGAUGGGAUAUUGGCUGUCAGGGGACGGGUUAGCCUUUAAGCCUAGAGAACCGAGUGCCUUGGGAUUUAGGCUGGAGACUUUGUUCUUCCUACACGCUCUUGGCAUCAGGUGAACCCCUGAGGACAAGGUGUGAUGUGGAAACUUCAAAGGGCAACUUGAGAAAGCGUGUAACCCUGGAUGGGACCCCAAGAAGCUACUUCCCAGCAUUCCUCCUGCCCGCAGACCCCUAGUUCACUAACAAGGCAGACGCUCUCUGAGGACAUCCAGGGGUCUCAUCUCUCAGUGUUUUCAGAUUUUUUUUUUUUUCAGAUUGUACAAAGGUCUUGCUAGGGUGCUCCCAAAUGUGUUACCAUGACAACUAUACUAACAUGAGAUUCAAUUCCAGGCUUGCAUUGCCCAGUGUCAUAUUGAGCACAGGUUGCUAUGGGGUGGAGGGAGGAUAGCUAAAGCAUAGGCCAGGAUCCUUCCCAGAGAAACCCUGUCCUAGAAUCAGGAACUGGGGACCAGGCCCAGAGUAGUCAGCUUUGCCUCUUGGGUGUUAUUUGAAACACACCCGGGGGAAACUGGGACUUGUAUUUUCCCAGCAUCAUUCUCCAUCAGACAUUAUCUGUCCUGCAACUCGGUUUGUAGACCAGGCUGGCCUUGAACUCAGCGAUCCACCUACCUUUGCCACUGGAGUGCUGGGAUUAAAGUGGAUUAUGAGCCACUACACCCUGGCAAGACAUUUCUUUGUGCCUCAUCUCAUCGAAUUCCAUGAGACAUUGUGUCUUAUGUUUCAACUUUUCAUCGUGCAUAUCUAUUGUAUGUGGUACUGUGUUACAUAAGGGCACGUCCCCCAAAAUUCUAUAACACGGGGCCUGUCCCGCUCUACUCUGCCCUUUCUUCCUCACUUUCCCCUGCCUUUCCUCACCCUAGAAAUGCAUGCCUCUACCUUGACAUCAUAGACAACAUCGUAGGUGCCCAUAUGAUCUGGGAGCUAUAAGUGAGGGAGAAGAUGAGAUUUGUUCCUAGUUCACAGAGCAUUUGGACCCUCGUCGUCCUGGCUGAUUUACCAACACCCACACCCUUCAACAGAGCCAGAUGCCCAAUACAAGCCUGAUGACUGCAGACUCCUCCCCCACCAUGCUUAUGGCUGGCCAGUGUCCUGGGACUGUUCCUUCUCAGAAAAACGCUUUGGCCCUGCCUGUGUGGGAACAGGGUGCCUCAGAGAGACCUUGCCCAUCCACCCUCAGCAUCAGAAGAGCUUAGACACCCCUAUCUCCAGAUCAUCCAGAUGUGGGUGCUGUACUGUUACAAGACCUAACUGUGGCACUGGGGAGGGAAGAAAAGACAGACACAGAAAAGCUGGGAUCAGGUGGGCUGUGAGCUCUGAUGGAGACCCAGCAGCAACAACCCACUUACCACACAGCAAGACCCAGGAAGAGGCAGGUUAGCUAACCUGUGUGGGAGGUCUGUGUUGGGGGAGCAGCCUCAGUACUCCUUUAUCUGGGAGGAGGGAGCUGCAGUUGAGGGUUUCUGCACGUGUUGAUGUUAGCUAAAGGCCGACCCUCUGACAGUGUUCUACUUGGACCAGGGGAAGAAUUUGCCAUUCCUCUGAGCCUGGCUAGGGAAAGGCCUUGUCAUUCCUGUGCAGCUGAGGCAUUGGGGUCCUUGACAUGGCCAUGCUCAUGUCAACAGUACACACUCACUCAUCCGCUCCCCACACCACACUCAAUUUCCUCGUCCGCCACGCCCUUGGCUGCACCGGUUACUCAAGGAGGGUUGUCUCCAGAGCCGGGAGAGAAGCUCUCUUUAGGAAGGGAGCUGCCAAGUGGGGACGGUGUUCCAUUCCUUUCUCUUUCAAUCAUCUCAGAACCCAGAAGGUCAAGGGAACUAAAUGUACGCUCAAGUAAGUAUGUGUGACGUUGAAUGGCUCCCAUUUUCCAGAGAAAAUCAGUGUGGACAACCGCAUCGGCAGAUCAUAGCCACAGCUCCUGUUGACCUAAAGUCCCUGAAUUAAAUUCCUCGUUACUAUUAAAUUCCAGAUCAAAAGCCAACAAGGGUGGGGUGAUUCAUAAAGGAAAAAAAUGCAGGAGGUGGAAGAGAGGUGGGAGAGAAAGAAGAAGGAAGAAGAGGGAGAGAGAAAAGGAAAAGGGCAGAGAGAGGAAGAGGAAAAUGGGAGAAGGGGGGGAGAGGAGGAGAAGGGAGAAAAAUCGACCAGGAAGUGAGAGGAAGGGGAAGGCCCAGGAAAUAGAGGAGGCAGAGGUGAGGGCUGAAAGGAGGGGGCGGGGAGAAGGAGCAGAGGGAAGGGAACUUGUGCUCUGGGACGGGAGGCGGCUUAAAAUGAAAUGGGUGUGACAUCAGACGGGACACAGAAAUAGUGUUCUUUUGGAAAACACAAGUUCUGUUUUCUAAUCUAAAAAGAGAUCACUCCACCACACACACCUCCUCUCUCUGCCUGCCUCACCCAAGACGUAGGCACACUUGGCUUCAUCAGAUGUAAAAGACAAGCGGCACCUAGUCCAAACUCUGCCAGGCAAGUCUCCACAGAAAUCUGGCCACAGGAACAAACCCUGAAUAGAAACAAGCUAGACAAGCCAGGAACACUCAACAUAGUGUCAACUCACUGUCACUGUGAGAGGGUCGCCGGCUCCAGAAUCGGCAGCUUCACCUCCGGGUGACAAUACUCUGGAUGCUUAUCCAAGGACCCUCAGUGCUCACCUACCGCCUUGCCUGACAUAGGAGAUGGCACACAGAUAGCAGCAGCAUCUUGGUGUUCACACACACAUCAAACGGCCUUCAAUACCAUCGGAGCUCUUCAGCUAACCUUAGAACUAGCCAGAUUUCAGACUUGAUCAGGUCAGCCUCCAUUUGCAACAAUGUGGCAAGGAUUGUUAAUAACGGAAACUCUCAAGUUUCACAAGCAUUCUGGGUGUUUGUUAUUAGCAGUCCUGCCUUAGCAAACUGCAUCUGACCACAUCCACACCUGUAGUGUGCGUUCUGGCCUUUUCUCUGUGAUUCAACAUUAUGUGUUUACUCGGUGCCUGUUAACACAUCCCCUAAAACACACCGACAUCCCCAGGACCAGAGAGAUUUUCAUUGUGAUCAGCAUGGUUUCUUGAAUUUAACAAAUUAACACGAAUGAAUGAAUGAAUGAAUGAAUGAAUGAAAGAAACUGCAUUCAAUGCUUAAAUUCUUAACUCCCUUUCCAUGGGUAGAGUCUCAUACUUCUUAUUUCUAGUAAAAUGGUCCUGGCCACCAGACUCCAGGAGUCUUGCCAGUAUGGCCAUGGAAUGCUGGUUGGAACCCUAGGACAGAUGCAGGACUCUGACGGUCAUGGACUGACCAGGGAAGACUGGGCCAUGUAUGUGAGCUUUUCCCAGGAGACUGGAGAAUGGGCCUUCCUCGGAGGUCAUCUAGCCACUGCUCGGCCAGACUCAGCCUGGGAAGGGCAGCAUCACCAUGUACUCUCAGAAGGCAGUAGCAGAGAUUGGCCUCUAUACAUGUAUGGCUCUAGGUUGGAGAACCACCCAGUGCAAUGGUUUGAAUGUAAGCCUAGAAUUCAUAUAUUGGAAACAUCCUCCAAGUUCCUCUGUUCACAAUUUUAGAAGUGGGGCUGUCCUGUUUUGGUUUCUCCUGCUGAUGUGAUUUAAAAAAGCAAGGGCCCAAAAUAACUUGGGGUGGAAUGCGUUUGUUUCUUCUUACAGGUUAGGGUUCAUCAUCAAGGGUAGCCAGGGUGGAAACUCCAGGCAGGAGCGUGAAGCAGAGAUUAAUAUAGAAACUCUGCUUCCAGGCUUGCUCCUUGUGGCUUGCUCAGCCUGCUUUCUUACAGCACCCAGGGCCACCAUCUCAGGGGCAGUGCCACCCACACAUGGUGAAUCGAAUCACCUCAUAUCAGUCAAGAAAAUGUACCACAGACUGCCCCAUGAGUCAAUUGGACGGGAGGCAUUUUCUCAAUUGAAAUUUCUUAGUGUUCUUCUAAAAUAGCCCUAGCUUGUGUCAAGUUGACAUACAACUAGUCAGCACACUGGCUCAGCUGUCCUUUCAUGCAGUUCGCGUCAACCUGCCAAGAGGUGGUACUGUCCACAGGGGGGGGGGGACCUCCUCCAUCAGUUAGAAGUCCAGAAAAUGUCCCAUAAGCAUGCCCACAGCCCCAUCAGAUGCAGGUAACUCCUCAGUCAAGAGUCCCUCUUCCCAAGUACACCUAGCUUGGUGUCAAGUCGAUAGGAGCCGUUAUUGAAGUGAUCAGGACAUAAGGGUGGGUCCUCUAGGAUGGGAGGUACUGUGACUGCUUCCCUUGGGACCCUUCUCUUAGGGCUGAAUGUGGCCAGUAUCUUGUUAUUUAGGUCCCAGCUCCCAGCUCCCAGGAGAGGACUCUCCUGACGAAUCUGCUUUUCUGCACCCAGCAUGGUGUUGAUGUGGACUUGGCUUGUUGGCAGAUGUGCUUGAUGCUGGCUGGUAAGCUCCCAGGAGGAAAACUAUCGUGAUAGUUUGUAUAUGCUCAGCCCAGGGAGUGGCACUGUUGGGAGGUGUGGCCUUGUUGGAGUAGGUGUGUCACUGUGGGUAUGGGUUUAAGACCCUUAUCCUGGCUACCUAGAAGUCAGUCUUCUGCUAGCAGCCUUCAGAUGAAGAUGUAGAACUCCCAGCUCCUCCUGCACCAUGCCUGCUUGAAUGCUGCCAUGCUCCCACCUUGAUGAUAAUGGACUGAACCUCUGAACCUGUAAGCCAGCCCCAAUUAAAUGCUAUCCUUAUAAGAGCUGCUUUGGUCGGAUGUCUGUUCACAGCAGUAAAACCCUGACUUAGACAACUAUACCACUCUCCCUUUUGGGACAAGCUCUCUGUGCACAGGGCAGUGUGUGGCAGGCACACUGAGUAAGUUUGUGGUUGGUUACACACACUUGAGUGUAGAGCUCACAGCUACCCAGGGACCAAUCAUUACCAAGUCAAGUUUUGUGGGAGACUAAGCUCUGACGGUAUGACUUUAUAUGCAAGGUCUUGCUGUACCUACCAGGCAAACCCUGAGAAGUCACAGGACAAUUGUAUACUUAAAGGAGGCCACUCAGACAGGCUAAGCAAUGUGGGCAAGGCCCUAGAGGAGACAGGGUGACCAGAGUACAGGAUGCUCUCUUCUCCCCGAGCAUAUGGUUUAGCCUGUUCUCUUCCAGCUCAAAGAUGAAUGAAUGAAUGAAUGAAUGAAUGAAUGAAUGAAUUCUGUUGGUCCUCUAGUAAGUGUGGGUUCUAAGGUCAAAGGCUAGGACCCUAAGAGCCAUAGGCUGAGGCUAGAGAGGUGGCUCAGUGGUUAAGAGUGCUGGCUGUCCUUCCAAAGGUCCUGUGUUCAAUUCCCAGCAACCACAGUCACAUAUAAUGGGAUCUGAUGCCCUUUUCUGGCCUGCAGGGCCAUAUACAUUAAAUAAAUAAAUAAGCAAAUAAAUAUUAGCCACCGGCCAAGCCCUUCUAUAGCUUAGGGACAUCCACACCACCGUGUUCAGGAUCACAAAGGAACAGACCACCAUUUCAAUUAACUGUUUGGACAAGGUAAGCUUUAAUGCUUAGCUUAGUUUUCUUUUCUUUUUCGUUUGAAACAGGGUCUCACUAUGUAGCCCUGGCUAUUUGAAACAGGGUCUCACUAUGUAGCCCUGGCUAUCCUAGAACUCACUAUGUAGACCAUGCUGGCCUCACACUCACAGGGAUCUGUCUGCCUCUGCCUCCUGAGUGCUGCGAUUAAAUUGUAUUGGCUGGAUGAUGUCAUCACAAAAGAGGCAUCUGGGAAAUGGAGGAGGAAGGGGGAGGAGUCACUGCUCCCAGGAGAAAAAGGUCACUGCUCCAGGCCAUCAAAUUCAAAUUCCUAGAAGAGAGCAAUGGGCCUUUUCCUGGGAGGGGAGGAUACAGACCUUGGCAAGUUUUACAAGGUAGGGGAAACAAAAAACAAAAACAAAAACAAAAACCUCAGUUCCUUGUCCCAAACACGUUUUAUAGUAUUUGAUAGGAAAGAUUAUAUUUGAUAUUUUUUAACACCACAACACUUUUCCAGAAAGUUUCUUCUUAGGGAUAAUUAAAAUUCUCCAAUUUAGAGAUUUUUUAAAGCUCCUGGGUUAUGCAUUUGGGGUAGACCUAAGGCCAGUCAGUGAGAUGACCUCCUAGCUUGGAGUCACUUCCUCUCCCCAAUUCCAACUCUCCAACCUUGCAGGCCAUGGGGUCUGGGCGCUAAUGUGGGAUCAUGUGCUCGCUCGGCAGUUUGAGUACACCGGAAAUUUCCAUCUUAAGUCCGGAGUGCGUGCUCUCUGAUCCCAUUGUCAGGCCGGUGGCAUUCCAGCCCUCAGGAAGGAGCCCCCUCUUCCAGAUUUCUCUGUCACAAGAUUCGUUAAGUAGCUUUUAAAUUUCAUUGCCAAGGGUUGUCAGGACAAUGCAGAGAAAAUUGCCAACGAUUCUGAAAACAGCCCAUGAAUCUGGGGCAGAGCUGGCGAGAACAAGGGAGCGCCACCGAGGGGGUGGGGCGUUGGCAGCCACUUAGAUGAGAAAGUUCUGGGCUUCCAAACUUCUUUGGUUGGGAUCCGUGUUACUUUAAAGGAUCAACUCAGCAGCGGGGUUAGGUGGGGGUGGGGUGCCUUUCUCAGGAGGGAAUGAGGAUCCAUAAUGUGUGUGGGGGAAGGGUGUUGGGGAGGAGGUCAGUUCAUUGACCCAUUUUCAGUUCAGUAUGGCAAACUUGGAUUACAAUAUGGUUCCACCACAGGGGAGCAGCCUGGCUGCCGCAUAAAAACCAAUCCCGGACUCCAGUGUAACUGCAGGUGAACAGCCGCCCCGCCUUCCUGCUCUUCGUGAGCCAAUCCCAGACUCCAGUGUGACAGCCAGUGAGCAACCGCCCCACACCCCCGCACUUUGUGAGCCAAUCCCAAACUCCAGUGUGACUGCAGGUGAGCAGCCGCCCUGCCCUCCCGCUCUUUGUGAGCCAAAUAAAAGCAGUUUCUUCCCCAUUUCAGCUUCUUCCAUGCUCCUCUGAGUCUUCACCAAGACACACAUGAUCCGAACUACGAAGACUUCUCUGUGGCCUUCAAGGAGGUAAACGACCGGAACACAUUAGGUUUUGUUCAUCGUGAGUUGUCAUGCCAACUGUUCUUUUCCAGUUGGGUAUACCCCCAGAAGUUACCACUUACACCAUUGUACACCUCUCCGCACAAUUUCAGUAGACAUCAACCCGUUCCAAUCCCAAAAACUUAAAUAAAGAAAUUGCAGAAAUAAAUGAGCCAUGUUCUGAGCAGACCGGUGAAACUCUGCAGUGACCAUUCUAUCUCAGCUGGAAAAAGAUUCUUCCAUCAGACCAAUGUCUCCAGGUAGCGGGCACUGCACUGCCCACCCAGCUAGCCGCUCUCACAGCUAUCAGGUCCACUGUAUGAUAUGUUGCUUGUGUUGCAGGGACCAAGGCUUAAUGGUAAGGAGCUGGCUGUUCAGAUGUGCCAAAGGGAAGCUGGAAAGCGUUUAACAAGGAGAGAGACUGCCUGGUAAGGGUGCUGAGAUCUAUAAAUUAAAUACCACAGACUUGUUAUGUAGGGCUCGGGAGUAGCCGUAAUUUCUGGUGUUCUCUAGGGGUCUUGGAUAAUGGCGCCUGGGGUAUUAAUAACGUGGUAGAUUUGUGCUGCGGCUUUGUUUUAUGGUUCCUAUUAUUCGCCAAUUUUACAAUUUUUGUUAAAGGAAGCUCAUGUGUGCAAAGGCUGAGCAGACCUCUGCGCUAUCGCGCAGAGCUGAAUAUGCAUUGCGACUCCAGGAGAAGAGUCCCAGAGUGGGUGGGAACCAUCUCAGAUUGACAGUUCCUUCCUCCACUCCUGCUUCACCGCAGCGUCUGGUCAGCCUCAGGUUAAUGCAGCUGUCUAAGGCUUCUAAGGCUCUUGGCCACAUCCAUGUAAACGGGCUGCGGGUGACUCAAGGUGAAAGGGAACUUACUGAAAGCACACAGUGGCUCCCAGAAUGGAUGGAGAGGCUGGAUGACUAGGAAGAGCGCUGGAAUAGAAGCAAAGCGGGAUCUCUUCACAGACCCACACCAGCAACGCUAUGCCACUGUAGCUGUGACGCUGGCCCCAGCCACGCACCAGAACUGCAAAGGCUGCUGGGAAACUCCUGCUUCCUGACCUGCUUGAGUUCCAGUCCUGACUCCCUUUGGUGAUGAACAGCAAUGUGGAAGUGUAAGCUGAAUAAACCCUUUCCUCCCCGA
Rattus norvegicus (Norway rat) is the source of this 10555-nucleotide non-coding RNA. The record is from RefSeq and is a predicted model, not a curated record. Lineage: Eukaryota; Metazoa; Chordata; Mammalia; Rodentia; Muridae.